Molecule: ribosomal RNA, 459 nt
Filed under: uncultured Acidobacteriota bacterium
Lineage: Bacteria; Pseudomonadati; Acidobacteriota
Description: bacterial SSU rRNA
Rfam family: Bacterial small subunit ribosomal RNA
Source: RNAcentral
ACGGGAGGCAGCAGUGGGGAAUAUUGGACAAUGGGCGCAAGCCUGAUCCAGCAACGCCGCGUGGAGGACGAAGGUCUUCGGAUCGUAAACUCCUGUCAGGCGGGACGAAGGCUUCCGGGCGAACAGUCUGGAAGCUUGACGGUACUGCCAGAGGAAGCCCCGGCUAACUCCGUGCCAGCAGCCGCGGUAAUACGGAGGGGGCUAGCGUUAUUCGGAAUUAUUGGGCGUAAAGGGCGCGUAGGCGGCCCGGUAAGUCAAAGGUGAAAUCCCUCGGCUCAACUGAGGAACUGCCUUUGAAACUGUCGGGCUUGAGGCCGGGAGGGGGUAGCGGAAUUCCCAGUGUAGCGGUGAAAUGCGUAGAUAUUGGGAGGAACACCGGUGGCGAAGGCGGCUACCUGGACCGGUUCUGACGCUGAUGCGCGAAAGCGUGGGUAGCAAACAGGAUUAGAUACCCUGGUA